RNAcentral lists this ribosomal RNA (446 nucleotides) under Staphylococcus saprophyticus. RNAcentral describes it as "bacterial SSU rRNA". It matches the Rfam family "Bacterial small subunit ribosomal RNA", at positions 35 to 469 of the family's 1533-position model. The record is from RNAcentral. Lineage: Bacteria; Bacillati; Bacillota; Bacilli; Caryophanales; Staphylococcaceae.
GCUGGCGGCGUGCCUAAUACAUGCAAGUCGAGCGAACAGAUAAGGAGCUUGCUCCUUUGACGUUAGCGGCGGACGGGUGAGUAACACGUGGGUAACCUACCUAUAAGACUGGGAUAACUUCGGGAAACCGGAGCUAAUACCGGAUAACAUUUGGAACCGCAUGGUUCUAAAGUGAAAGAUGGUUUUGCUAUCACUUAUAGAUGGACCCGCGCCGUAUUAGCUAGUUGGUAAGGUAACGGCUUACCAAGGCGACGAUACGUAGCCGACCUGAGAGGGUGAUCGGCCACACUGGAACUGAGACACGGUCCAGACUCCUACGGGAGGCAGCAGUAGGGAAUCUUCCGCAAUGGGCGAAAGCCUGACGGAGCAACGCCGCGUGAGUGAUGAAGGGUUUCGGCUCGUAAAACUCUGUUAUUAGGGAAGAACAAACGUGUAAGUAACUGUGC